UUCCGGGAAGGAGAGCGGAGCAUUUGCCUGUUAGGGUUGAUUGACCGCGUCCCAAAUUUACGAGUCCGAAGCAGAGUGGAGUUGUUUUUCACGUUUGUUUAACAUUUUAGAGAUUACAGUGCGCUUUUACAAACGCUAGAUCCUUACAAAAACCCUAUGAGGUAGGAAUUAUUGUCUUGCGUUUUGUAGGUGAGAAAAUUGCCCGCAGUGACCAGCCCCAAAUUUUUACACUUAGACUCAGGGAUGGAGCUUGAAUCCAAGUCCUGGUUCAAGUCCGAGUUUCUUCUGCUACACGGUAGCUGAAAAGUACUAAUUCUUAAUCAUAUGUUGUGUACUUAUUUACAAUUUCAUUGUACUUUUUUCCAGCCCGACUUACCUCCUCCAUAUACUUGUUUGGGGGGGGGGGGGGCUGUAAGCAAGUUCUAUAAUAAUUGUAAAAAAGUUAAUAGCCAGAGGAACUGGCAUCAAGUACUGACUACCAACAACACUCGUUCUCCAUUUCACAGCUCCAGUUCCCUUUCCUCUGGAUAGGAAGGUAAGAUACCCCCUCGGUGAAGGUCUGCCCAACUUGAAAUAUCUGAACUUAGUCCACUUGCUCAGGUAAUGUGGAGGAUCAGAGUAUUUGAAACAGUCCUCUGGUUUCCAUUUUAGCUCCAUAAACUUAGAUUUUCCUUUGAGGUAGCCAAGCCAACGGCAAAUAGAUAGAAAAGGAUCUUUCUGUCACUGUCUCCAACUUUCUACCUAAGAAUUCCCGGAAUCUUCAGAAUAAAAAGGCCAUUCGUUAUGACACCAUUUUCAGAAGGGCAGACAAACUCCCUGGAUUCAGAGCCUGUCUCUAUCAUUUAUUAGCUGUAUAAUCUUUUAGGCCAGUUAACCUAACACUACCAUGCCUUCUUUUUUGGCAUCUGUAAAAUGGGGUUGUUAUGAAGGUAACAUGUAAACUACUAAAUAGUAACCAGAAUGUUGCUUAAUAAAAUGUUAGUAUUGGCAUUACUACUUUUCCCAACUUUUCAUGUCUUCACGCUCACCUUGUACCAUGGAAAACAAUAAAUAAAUAUGUUGGUCUCUGCCUCCUGUUUCUGACACUGGGCUCCUGAAAAUCUUGUCAAUUCCCAAGUGAUAGGUGCAUUGGAAGCAUCUUUUGUUUUGUGAGGGGACUCUGGAUGGGUUCUUAGAUGUGGUCUGGUCUCCAGGUAGAUAAAGCCUGAUUAGAAGCUUGGAAUUUUCAGCCCCUCCUCCCAUUCUAUAGAGAGGGGAGAAAGGCCGGAAAUGGGGUCAAUUGAUCACACCUACAUGAGGAAGACUUAAUAAAAUCCCAGUAGUAUGGAGUUUGGAGAGCUUCCAGGCUGGUGAACCCAUCCACAUACCAGGAAGAUUACACACCCCAACUCCACUAGGCAGAUGCUCCUACACUCCCAGACUUUCCCUGUGUAUCUGUUCAUCUGGUUGUUCAGGUUCUUCAUCUUUAUCCUUUACCAUAUCCUUUAAUAAACGGAGUUCUGUGAGUUGUUCUAUCCAAUAAUCAAAUUGAAGGGGAGGAGGUUAUGGAAACCUCCAGUUUAUAGCCAUGUUGGACAAAAGUUGUGGGUAACCCAGGCACUUAAUUACUUGCAAUUGGCAUCUGAACGGGGGCAGUCUUGUGGGACUGAGCCCUUAACCUGUGGGAUCAGAUGCUGUCUCCAGGUGUUGUCUCCAGUUUGACAGAGUCAGAAUUGAGCUAAAUCGUAGGAGACCCAGCUAGUGUCACAGAAUUGCUUGGUGAGGGAAAAACCCACAUCUGGUUUUAGAAGCGUUGUGAGUGUGGCAGUAGUGUGAAAAUAAAGGAGAAACAGAAAUGAGACCAGGUUUUUCCCUUUACAUACUGUAACCAUACUGUUGAUUCUCUGAGCAAUUAGUACUUCUCAGUCUUUCUGUGCAUAAGUAACUUGUUUUAUCUGCCUAUAAUUUGCAGUUUCUUACAUAUUCUCCCAAUUGACUCAAAUAUUUUUUUCAAGAAUCUUGGAGUUCCUGUUGUGGCGCAGUGGCUAAUGAAUCCGAUUAGGAACCAUGAGGUUUCGGGUUCGAUCCCGGGCCUUGCUCCUAGACUGCAGACGUGGCUUGGAUCCCGCAUUGCUGUGGCUCUGACGUAGGCCGGCGGCAAUAGCUCCAAUUCAACCACUAGCCGGGGAACCUCCAUAUGCCAUGGGAGCGGCCCUAGAAAAGGC
This 2204-nucleotide long non-coding RNA is filed under the name Sus scrofa (pig). RNAcentral's name for it is "lncRNA (ENSSSCG00005028892.1)". The record is from RNAcentral. Lineage: Eukaryota; Metazoa; Chordata; Mammalia; Artiodactyla; Suidae.